AGGAAUAUUGGUCAAUGGACGCGAGUCUGAACCAGCCAAGUAGCGUGAAGUAUGACUGCCCUAUGGGUUGUAAACUUCUUUUAUAUGGGAAUAAAGUUUUCCACGUGUGGAAUUUUGUAUGUACCAUAUGAAUAAGUAUCGGCUAACUCCGUGCCAGCAGCCGCGGUAAUACGGAGGAUCCGAGCGUUAUCCGGAUUUAUUGGGUUUAAAGGGAGCGUAGGCGGGCUUUUAAGUCAGCGGUAAAAAUUCGGGGCUCAACCCCGUCCGGCCGUUGAAACUGGGGGCCUUGAGUGGGCGAGAAGAAGGCGGAAUGCGUGGUGUAGCGGUGAAAUGCAUAGAUAUCACGCAGAACCCCGAUUGCGAAGGCAGCCUUCCGGCGCCCUACUGACGCUGAGGCACGAAAGUGCGGGGAUCGAACAGG
This 421-nucleotide ribosomal RNA is filed under the name uncultured bacterium. Its description in RNAcentral is "bacterial SSU rRNA". It matches the Rfam family "Bacterial small subunit ribosomal RNA", at positions 357 to 776 of the family's 1533-position model. The record is from RNAcentral.